Molecule: ribosomal RNA, 533 nt
Filed under: Anabaena sp. NR3(2012)
Lineage: Bacteria; Bacillati; Cyanobacteriota; Cyanophyceae; Nostocales; Nostocaceae
Also listed under: 1 other name
Description: bacterial SSU rRNA
Rfam family: Bacterial small subunit ribosomal RNA
Source: RNAcentral
UAUUGCCAAAAAGAUGAGCUCGCGUCUGAUUAGCUAGUAGGUGAGGUAAUGGCUCACCUAGGCGACGAUCAGUAACUGGUCUGAGAGGAUGACCAGUCACACUGGGACUGAGACACGGCCCAGACUCCUACGGGAGGCAGCAGUGGGGAAUUUUCCGCAAUGGGCGAAAGCCUGACGGAGCAAUACCGCGUGAGGGAGGAAGGCUUUUGGGUUGUAAACCUCUUUUAUUAGGGAAGAAGAUCUGACGGUACCUAAUGAAUCAGCAUCGGCUAACUUCGUGCCAGCAGCCGCGGUAAUACGAGGGAUGCAAGCGUUAUCCGGAAUUAUUGGGCGUAAAGCGUCCGCAGGUGGUUUUACAAGUCUGCUGUCAAAGCGUGGAGCUUAACUCCAUAACGGCGGUGGAAACUGUAAGACUAGAGGUCAGUAGGGGUCACGGGAAUUCCCAGUGUAGCGGUGAAAUGCGUAGAUAUUGGGAAGAACACCAGCGGCGAAAGCGCGUGACUGGGCUGAUCUGACACUCUGACGAUGCUAUC